CCAGCCUCUUGGAUAAUGGUGUUGUCCCGAGUGAAUCUCCACCUCCCCAUCUCUCCCACUUCCUCAUUCGUCUCUUCUACAGUUGCCCUCUGUCUUCGAGCUCUUUGCUCUCCUACUUUUAAGGCUCACUGGGUUCUGGGAGAUGGAGGGUCUGGAAUACUUUCUAAUGACAAUGUUUCAGCCAGGUAUUGUUCAGGGUCUCCCAUGAUUUCCCAGCUUUCCCCCUCAUCUGCCUCUGAGCUGCUCAAACCCCUGUUGUAAAUCUAUACUGUCUUCCUCUCUCCCCCCCCCCCCCAGGAAGGGUCAGGAUGGGGAGGAAGUCUCCACCAUUCCUCCUCUGCCCAGUCCCUGACAAUUAGUUUUCUUUAAAAGUGGAAGCCGGUUUUCAGAUGAUACAAAGCUCUUCUUCAGGCUUUGAUUAUGAGAACAAAAAAUAAACAUCCAAUAGUCUAGAUAGAAACAAACGGGUAGUCAGGCUGAUGGUUACCUGGUUGCAGAAGUUUACUGGCCAUUGCUGUUGGCAUGGAGAUAGUCUAGGUUGAAUGCAAACAUGCCAUUCUGAUGUCAUGUGUGAUGUCACAAAGAGGGUAUGCUUUAAGUCUUGGCAAAGCCAGAAACAGUUAACAGUCAGACUGCAUCUCAGCACUGUCAAGAUGGAUCUCCAUAACAGGUGAUGAAUAGUUUUAUUUGGGGACUAUAUUAACUUUUACUAUUGGGGGAAAGUUUUAGAUUGGUCUGCCAGUUUGUAACCCAUCAAGUUGAGGCCAAUAGAUAUACAUUCACAACCCUGUACCCAUCAAAUAAUCAACUUUAUGUGUGACUUUGGGACUGAUUCAUACAACCACAUUACUUUCUCAACUCUAUAGCAGCUUUUUCUCUGUAUUUUAAAAAAAUAACCAAGAAGGAGAAGAUAAGGAACCAGGAAUAAGAUCUGGAUGAGUAUGGUGAGGAUCUAAGCUUUACAAGUGAGGGGGCUAGGAAGAUAGCUUUGUGGUCCAGCAUAGGAAUGAUGGGUGCUGCUUCAUAUUAUUGAAUUCCUGUACCACAAAGAAGAAGACUUUGAGCUCUUUGCUCUCCUACUUCUAAGGCCCACCAGGUUCUGGGAGAUGGAGUGCCUGGAAUCCUUUCUAAUGAUGACGUGUCAGCCAGCUGCUGCUCUGGCUCUGCCUGCUCCUCCUAUGCCAUGAUUUCCCAUCUUUUCCCCUCCCGCAAACCACUGUUGUAAAUCAUACUGUCUUCCUCCUGCUCCUCCCUGGAAGGGUCAGGAUUGCGAUCUCCUCUUCUGCUCAGUCCCUGACAUAAGGGUAUGCAAAGGAAGACAGUGGAGGAUUUAAACUCAUUCUGCUGGCUUCCCAAUGGAGAGCAGAAAUUUGGGAAGCAGAUGAUGAUGGAGCCAGCAGGAGCUAGAGAGAGGGUAGAGAGCCAAGUGGCUUAAAAGAUACAGAGGUUGCAGCAUUCCCCACCCUUACAGAACAGAACAGCCCUGAAGGAAGGUGCUGAAUGAUGCUUUCACAGUAAGCGGAAGUUUCCUAUUUGUCAUUGUUUUUGUUGCCUGUGUUUGUUUGUGGCCAUCUAAUCUUCAGCCAAAGAGAGCGAGUGCAUGCACCUCAAAUAAUACAAAUGGAGAGACCUGAGGCCCUACAGGAGCAUAAGCCGCUGUCAUUGAAGAUUGAAGUUGGAGCGGGCCAGGGGGAGUCUGGAGCUGAGGAGGUUCCUAACUUUGGAGAGACCUUGAAAUAUGCUUUUAAAUACUUUUUGGAUUACAUUGAUGACUGUGGGGAGUGGGACUGGGGAAUGGCCGGGUUUGAUGAAGGGAGAUGGAGACAAUUUUGGGUUGGAAUCCCCCAGAGACCUACUCCUCAAUGAGAAAGGAAAGAAAUUAAGAAAGAGACCAACAAAAGACAAGGAAAAGGGCAAGUAUAAACAAGAAGAAGAAGAUCUGCAGAAGGGACAUGGAAGAGACUUAAGGGCCUCGGACAUAAGACUUCCAGGUUGAUGGACUAGAUGGAAUGGACAGUAAGGACUGACACGACCCGAGACCAGGAAGAAGAGACGUUGGAUGAAAAUUGGAAGAAAAUUGAUAAAGAAUUUUUUUUAUUUAGGGAAUUAGCCUAAAAUCAAUGAAUAUUAGGGAAAAUGUUGGAAUGAAACUAUAUGACUCUAGCAGAAAUGAUAUCAGGAGUUAUAUAUAUUUGAGUAUUAAGAUUCAAGCUUUAAGGUAUUUUAUGGUAAGAUAAGGUUAAAUAAAUUAAGGUAAUUUGAAUAACAGAAUAUGGGGAAAGAUGGAAAGGAUUUGUUGAGCUAAUUAUUAGGUUAAAUUGUUAAGAUAAAUUAUUUAACAAAAAUUGAGAAAGAUGGAAAGAAUUUGCUGAAAUAACUAAUUAAACUAGAAUACAAAAAGGGAGGAGGUCAAUGAAACAAGCAAAUGGAAGUUAAAGAUAUGUAAUUUGGGAUUUGUGUCUUUUUUUCUUCCUUUUUUCUUUUUUAUCUUUUUGCUGUAUUGUUGUAUUGGUUUUUAUGUUUUGCGUUUUUUCUUCUUUUUAUGUAUUGUAGUGCUGUUUUUUAUUUUUUAUUUUCUUUCCAUAAUUCUGAAACUAUUAAUAAAUAUUAUUAUUUUUUUAAAAAAAGAAAUUUGCAAUUUUAUAUAUGGAUGCACAUUUAGAAAUAACUACCAUAAUUGAUACAGAAAUUCAAUAUAUCUCACCCCAGUAGGAAAGACUGUGACCAGGAGACAUGUAUGCCUGUCCUAGGUUGAUCUAAAAAUCAACGGGCAACUUCUUUCUUAUCAUUCUUCAUUUUAAACUCAACUUGAAUUUAUCCUAAAUUUGCAUCUGCUGUAAGUUUACACCAGUUUAUGCCAAAUUGCUUUGUGAUGGCUUCUUGUGUAUAGGAUUGCUCCCUUAGUGAAUGUGUGGUUGUUGUGAGACUUGAUCUCAGGAUUUCUGGGACCACAUGUUAUACUGUUUGCUGCUAUGUUCUCUCCUGCUAAAUUUGGGAUGGAAAGCAAACACGAUUACAUAUUAAACUUCUUUCUGGAAAUGGUAACAUAAAUUUUAUGUAAUCAAGCAAGAAGCAUUGAUAUUGGAAAGAAAUAAAAAAGGAUGAUAAAUUUUAGCUUCAAGAAAUGUUAUUAGUACAGUUAGUAAUGGAACAAUUAAAUUGUGUUGUAAAAAUGUGUUUAGAGGUAAAUGCUGAGCAAUCCUUAUCUACAUACAGAUGGAAUAAAAGGGAAUACUUCAUUGUCUUCUAAAGUCCUGGGAAAGUGAAAUGUACCAAUAAAACUAUAGAAUCCACCAUAGGGAUGUCCAAUAUCCUUGAAUAUGUGAAUUUUGAAAUUUCAGUACACCUGUGUUUAUUUCCUUUAACUGUUACUGCUUUUAAAAAUUAUAAGAUUUAAUCAGUUUUGUGAAUUGCAGUGCAAUCCUAACCGUAUAUAGUGCAACUGAAUUCAAUGGAUCUUAGGUAAGUUGGUUUAGGAUUCCAUCGUUAGUGGUGGCUGCAUCAGGAAAUAAAAUCUGGGAGUGCAUAAAAGGGGCAGCAUAUAUUUCUAGGUAUUCCAUUUGUUAAGAUCGCUGAAAGACAAAUAACAUAUGUCAGAUAGGAAUCCAGCAUGUGAGUUCCUUGUUUGCUGUGAGGGACUGGCAGGGCUCUGAUGAGUGAGUAGCAGGGGUGGGGAGCAAGGUCGAGGCUGACUCAAGGGAAGGGAUCAGUGAUUUAUUGGGUUUUGUGCCUCUUGCAAGGCAGGAGCCAUGGCUGGAGGAAGGGGAAGAGUCAAAGCAGUCGGAGAUGGGGGAGAAGGUACAGGACGCGCUAGGAGCAGAGGAAGACAAGCCAACUGAGAGGGGUGGGGUGGUAGAAUCCCCUCCAUCCCCUCCCCUGCUGUCUUUCAGGACCAGGAAGGGUUUGAAGGGGCAGAAACAGAGGCAACUUCUGCACAGGAGAAGUCACAGCUUGUUUGUGAAUGCCCUAUCAGGCAGGAGAACUUCAGUUUCAGUGGAGGCAUGGUCAUGCGGUUGCGUCAACAGUCCGGCUUGUAGGUGUGUGCUUUAUCAAUAACGAAAUCAACUACUUACUCCUUUGGGGGCUGAGGGUACUCUGGAGAGAUUGGAGCAACCCCAAAUCUCUUCCAGCCAAGGAUCCCUGGACGGUUAAGUCCAGUCAAAAGCAGCUAUGGGGUUGUGGCACUCAUCUCGCUUUUAGACCAAGGGAGUGUGGCGCUGUGGUCUAAACCACUGAGCCUCUUGAGCUUGCCAGUCAGAAGGUUGGUGGUUCAAAUCCCCACAAGGGGGUGAGCUCCCAUUGCUCUGUCCCAGCUUCUGCCAACCCAGCAGUUCAAAAGCAUGCCAGUGCAAGGAGAUAAAUAGGUAUUGCUGCGGCAGGAAGGUAAACAGUGUUUCCAUGUGCUCUGAUUUCCAUCACGGUGUUCCGUUGCAUCAGAAGUGUUUUAGUCAUGCUGGCCACAUGACCCGGAAACCUGCCUGCAGACCACCCAUGAGCCUUAAUUAACUAAAGUUUAGUUGAUAAUGAGUGGUAUCUUUUAUUUGUUAAAUGUGCCACGAUGCAAAUUUGUACUUAAUUUCAUUUAAUUGAUUUAAUCUGUGUGGUUGUUUUUUUUAAAAAAAUGAUUAAUCAAUUAAAAUACUUUGAAUGGUAGAUGGUUCUGACAAUCUUAAUUGUGUUUUUAAUGAGUUUGGUUUAAUCAAAGGCAAAUUUGUGAACCUCCAUUUCCAUAGUAACCAAAAUCCAUUCUACUUCCCUAAUCAACCACUGUUUAGAUACUGGAAGACCAGCUGAGCAAGAUGAAUAAUUUUAGUCCAGACUAAAAGGGUGAGAAUUUGGAGCACUGGGAUCUCUAUCUACAGAUCUUAUAACAUCGCCUUUCCCCUACCCUGUAGUGGAAUUCCUUUAUUAACUUUGCUAAUGACCAGUUUUUAAAUGUCUUUGAGAUAUUUUGCACUUUACCAAUGCACACAUAUUUAACCUACUUUCAGAACCAACAGUUGCUUGUCACUUUCUGAAAAGCAGAAAUGAGAACCUGCUUUCUACUUGAAAUGGAAAAGGCAAGCAUAGAAAAGAAUGAGAGAUUUAUAAAUCAGUUGUGAGGGUAGUAGCAGUAGUAGUAGUAGUAGUAAUAAUAAUAAUAAUAAUAAUAAUAAUAAUAAUAAUAAUAAUAAAUAAAUAAGUUAUACCCCCUCCCCAUCUGGCUGGGUUUUCCUAGCCACUCUGGGCGACUUCCAACAAAAUAUUAAAAUACAAUAAAACAUCAGACAUUUAAAACUUCCCUAAACAGGACUGCCUUCAAAUGUCUUCUAAAAGUCAGAUAGUUGUUUAUUUCCUUGACAUCUGGUGGGAGGGCAUUCCACAGGGCGGGCACCACAGCCGAGAAGGCCCUCUGCCUGGUUCCCUGUAACUUCACUUCUCACAGUGAGGGAACCACCAGAAGGCCCUCAGAGCUGAACGAUGGAGGUGAAGACAGAAAUGGAGAACUUGUGGCCCACCCAUGGUCAUCUCAAGAUGGUUUCUUGUCGGAAGUGUACUAUCAAAUGGUACCACCACCACCUCAAAGUCAAAGUGCAUGGUCCUCAGGGCUGAUUAAAUUAUGUUGGCACAUUUGGCAGAAAAAUUGCCCGAGCAAUUUGCUCCCAGGUAGUAAAAAUAAAAUUAAAUAAUUUAAAAAUAGCAACUUGCUACCUUUUCAUAACAGCUCAAAUAAGCUGCCAGAAGGAGUCACAUUACUCCUUAACAGUGUGACCAGAUAUAUGGCCUCCUGUUGUUUCUGCACUACAAUUUGUGUGUUUAAAGCAAAUGUGGAUAUUUUCACAUUGGCAGGGAGAAUGUGAAUCUCCCCUCCACCCCUGAAAUUUGUUCUGACAGGAUUUAUAAAGCAGCCCAUAACUGGGACGCUUGGGCUACGCCGUCUAACGUUUUGUGCUUCUGCAUGCAUCCAGGUUCACUUAAGCAGGUUGAUAUCUCGCUCUUUUGUUUCUGGGCAGCCCUGUUUGGGCUCUAAUUUUGUCAGCACUCAAUCAUUUUUCCACUGAUAUCUGUGGUCAGGUUACUAUUGGAGGCAGUGCUAAUUAGAAAGGAGACUUUUCUUCUCCCCAGGGCUGAUUAUCAGCCACAGAUAGGGGCAUGCUUGUGUUGGCAAAUAGAUCAGAUGCAAAAUUAGGUACCAGCAUAAAUUUGGAGCCUUUGCUCAACCCAGACACAGGACAUUCACCAGACACUAAAGAGAGAGGAAAGAUAAAGGAGGGAAAUCUGUUUGAGAAUGCCAGAGUCAAGAAGUGCAUUUUUCUUUUUCUACAUUUAAUCCUUAUUGAUUUUAAAUAUUGCAUCCAUUCACCACAAAAAGAAAAAAAGUAAACACAUUCAAUACAAAGAAAAUUUUACAUAUAGAAUAAAGUUCUUCCAUGCAUUAAGACUUCCAUCUGCCUCAGCAUGGAUCCUUCAUUUCCUUAUUAAAGGCAUAAUGUAUGACAUUUAACUUAUCGUAAAUUAUCUAUAAUCUUUAUAGCAUAUGGUAUUGCAGAAGUUAAUCAAAGCAUGUCAAAGAUUUCAUAUGGGAACAAUGUUCUUUUAAAUAUAAUCUGUAUAUAUCCCAUUCUUUCUUGAACUUUUGGUCUGUCUGGUUCCUAAUUUUUCCUGUCAUCUUUGCAUAAUCAAAUAAUUUCUCCUGCCAUUCCAAUUUAGUUGGUAUUUUAUCUCCUUUCCACCAUUUGGCUAUCAGCAUUUUCGCGGCAGUGGUUGCAUACAUAAAAACCCUCCUCAAUUCCUUCAGAAUGUCUGCAGCCAUAAUACCUAAAAGGAAGGCUUCUGGUUUUUUUGAUGAAAGUUAAUUUAAACUUUUUUUUUUUUAGCUCAUUAUAAAUCAUUUCCCAAAAGUUCUUUAUCUUUUUACAUUUCCACCACAUGUGGUACAUUGUCCCCUCAGAUUCUUUACAUCUCCAGAAAAGGUUUGAAUUAGUUUUUCUAAAGAUACUUAUAUCCAGUUUGGGGUCAGCUGAAUUGCCCCUUGAUGGCUUUCCUGUUGGUAUGGGGUUUUAGUCUUCCAGAAGUUGUUGGCCCUCUGGUCAGUGCCUGGGUCCAAGUUUGUCUUCCAUAUUUCUUCUGCUCCCACAGAGUUGCUGAACCUCUUAUCUCCCUAUGAGGGAAGGCGAAGCAAGCACGUUAUAUCUGGUGGUCCGCCUAGCUGGAGUAGGCUGGUCUUCUUUAUGCUGGUAGGAGUUAUGGAUACCACCUUCCAUGAUAUUUUGGGCCUCUGGCCAGUGAUCACAUAGUUGUCAUUAAUCUUCCAAGAGCAAAGCCUCUGGGUUAAGACAUUUUACUCAUACUUAAGGACUACGAUACUUUCUUGUAUUCAAUGGCAUGUAUUCUCUGCAUAUAAAACAAAUGGGUGAAAUGAAACAUGAAGAAGAAAUUGUCGCAUUGAUAAUGACAAUAAUAAUUCAGCCAAAAGAUUGCAUCUGGUAUCCUUCCACUAAGAUUUCCCAAGAAAAAUCUGAUUCAUUUGUGCAAAUUGAGUAGAAACAUAGAAGUCAGAAGAUGUGAAAACACUCAUUAUUUUCCAUAAAUAUUUAUGGGAUGUAAUAUUUAUGCAACAAAGACAUGGGGCAGUUUCAUCACUCUAUGGGAAAUAAUCUGAAAUUGAUUUUAUCCUCUUAAUGUAAUGCGCCAGUUUUCACGUUUAGUUGUUCUUGGGUGGAACUAACAAUUUGAAGGCAGCUUGAGAACUUGUAAUAAAAAAGGCAAGGCUUACUUAAGAUAAAUAUGGAUAUUAAUUCUGCCACAUCCAGAGUCUCAAUAAAUGCAUUUACUUUUUACAUGAUCUAAUUUUAUAAAACAUUUGGAGAGACUACAGAAGGAGAGAUGGCUCUAAGCAACAAAUGUGAUAUUUUUUUUUAUAACUGCUAUCAUGUAGCUAUGCCUCUCUCUAUAACUUCUUUUGGAAUGGGUUUCAUAUUAUUUUUUGCCAGCCGUUUGACUGAGCAGGAUUGAUGGUGUAAUCAAAAGGGAGACUGCCACAGAUGGAAGCCAGAAGCAAUUCUUCUUUUAAUCUGCUUUGUUUCUCAAAUGUAGACCUGGCUGGUAAGUAUCGAAGAUGCGCUAAGGGGAAGCUCUGUUUCUUUUAGAAUUAUGUUUGUACAAGACCGACAAUUUUAUUUUAAUAUACACAGCGCCUUGGGAAUUGGCAAAUGAGAGCGACGCAGGCAGGUUGCAAGAACCCGAUGGAGGAAGUCAGCUUAUUUUUAGAAUGUAAAAACAAAACAAAAAAAGAACCUAGGAUGACCAACUUUUCAUAUCAAAAUUUCGGAUACUUGGAUGGGGCUAUGAAUUUGCCAAGAAGUGCCUGUCACAGUAGAGCCGUUGGUAAGCUCUGCUGAGGCCGUCUGAUGUAAUGGCUGUCCCCAAAUUAGAGUUGAGGGGAGUGGAGGCCUCACAGAACCAACCUGUCAUGGCAGAGCCAAUGGAGUGAUAUAUUGAUGAUAUAAGGCACAUCAUGGGUGGCUUGACUAUUUUACUUGAGUUGCUUGCUCUGUAUAUAUGGCAUUUUCAUACUCUCCAGUGGAUGGCAUAGAUUCUAUUGAUCUGUAGUUGCUGAAUGUCAUGUGUGGAUGGGGGACUUGCAUGUAAGAGCAGUAGCAGCCUGGAUAGGAUGGGAUGGGAAAGGAGAAGCUUGUGUGAGAGAGAAAGAGAGGAGUCUAGGAUAUCUAAGGUGGUUGGAUGGUGUCUUGUAACACCUCCUUGCAACCCCUGCAGACAAGCUGGAAGCAAAUAUAUCACUCUGUUUUCUUUUGGACCACAUCAGCGAGGUCGUCAUCUGGGCAACCUAGGACUUCCAUAUACUCUGCCGAGGCUUGCGCCCCACGGAAGUCACUUCGGUGCUGCUAAUGUAGCAAAAACCAUGCAAGAGUUGUGAGUUACAGUCUCUGCAGCAACAGCAGGCACUUGUCAUGGGCCAGGAGUUGGCUUCACCUGCUGAGCAGCAGCCUGAAGGAGCAGAAGGCAAAGUGACUCCACCUACUACUGAUCAGCCGUCUUACUCCUGAUGAGAACCAGAUGACUUCAGCUUUCUUCAGCAGGGUUUCCAGCCUCAGUCAGUUGCUGGAAACAACAUUCGUAGUUCCUGGACAGACCCUGCUGCUUCUUGCUUCUUGCUUCUUGUGACCUUGGACCCUCAACUUUCUUGACCCCUGGAUCAUCUGACUACGUGAACUGAGAUACUGCUGACCUUAGGACUGGAUUGAACCUUGCAUAUGGACUCUGCCUCCAAGCAGGCUCCCCCCUGAAACUUGGCUGGUUGGCCAUUGCUGGGAGCACAGGACUAUGACAGUGCUGUGAUUCACCAAUGGUUUGACUUCUUUCCCAGAGGCACAGUCAAUUGUCUCUUGAGACAAAUGAAUGUCAACAACAGCUAUAAGUAGCAAUUCUUGCCAAUAUAUUAUGGGUAGAGAAAAGGGUUUAAUCCCUAUCCAUUGUCCUAAAUCCAGGAAAUUUUGUUUGUUUGUUUGUUUGUUUGUUUGUUUGUUUGUGUUUGUGUGUUGCCUGCAUUGAUCUCUGGAUUUAGAAUCCCUGGCGGAACAUUUUGUCCAUUUUUAUCACUGCCACAUUUAAGAACUCAAUGUGCUUGAUAAUAACUGCUGUCAAAUAAGAACUCUAAGGUCAGGUAUAUUUUCCCCUUUUUAAAGAAGCCAGGUGAACUGACAAAUUGACAACAUUCCCCACGAGUCACACAGACAGCAAUUUAACACCAAUAUAAGUUCUGUAUAACUCAGUGAAAUUGAAUUCCACAAUCAACAUUUUGUGAUGUUUUAAUUUUAAAAUUUGCAUGGAACACUGUUUUCUAGCACUCUACCCAUUCCUUAAAACCGUCAAAAGUUACCCUGCUGAUAGACACAUUUAUACUUAUUUCCUCCAAAUAUCCUUAAUAUCACUUUGUGGUAAUGAGCUUUUGUAUAAAGAGUGUACUUGAUUUACAUAAUGCAUGCUCUUCUGCUGUAUUCUAUUUCAUUUGCUCCAAAAUAAAAGUAAGUGACGCCUGAAAUUGCAAUUUUUGCUCUUUCAUCCACUACAGUUUAAACUGUAUAUUCUGUGUUUUUGAGGGAAAUAGAAAUAAAUAUAUUUCUAUAAAAGUUUGUAUGUGCAGGCACAUGUGUUUUUUCCAUUUCCAGAUAGAUCACAAUUACCUUAUAUUGCCUGCAAAGUCUUUUGGGCCCCCAAAUUGACCAAAAUCAACCAGACAUUCAUGCUUGUCUUUUUAUUGUUGCCAUCCAUCAACAGCCAAAUAUUAUCUAGGCUUGUUCUCAUUUGAAUAGAAUCUAAGUUACUCUCUGCUAUGAGUAUAUUUCUAAACUGUUUAGGGACUAUGUGAUUGUUCUCAUCGUUUCAGACAUAGCACAAUGUCUAUGUAUUUGACACUCCAAUUUCCCUUAUAUAGAUACAAAGUGAUUUACUUGUCAAAUUUACAUCAAAACCUAUGUACCUCAGCGAGAUCCAAAAUGAUUUUGCUAUUUCCUCUGCAUACAUUUGCCUCCUGUGAAGGCUUGCUGUCUUUUUUCUCUUUUGAGAGUCUGGAUUAGAAUACAAAGACUUGGCCAUUUCGACAGCUCUCGGAAAGGUUUCCUUGCAAAGGGAGAUGGAUUGCAGACUCAGACUGUAAAAAGGGGGGUUAAGUGUACUUAUUGGGGUUGCAAGAAAUGAGAUUAGUACAAUUAUUUAAUUCUGUAACUGAAUUUCGUUUCACCUUGGUUGUUCCAGGCCAGCAGCUGGGAUCAAUGUAAGUAUUGAUGCCCGUAGUUGUCUUUUCUUUAAACUAUUUUCCUCACAUUCUACAGGGGUAUCCCAUAGUCUAGAUGGCUUGGCUUCUCUUUUAUUUCAUAGCAACUGCUCCUGCUUUGUUGGGUCUGUAUAUCAGUAAUUCUCAAUGUUCCUCUUGAUACCAAACUUAAUCCCUCUAAAACAUUACAGCUGCCCCUAGUUUUCAGUUUCCCAACACAUUUCCCUGGUAGCAGCUAGUGAAACAAAGAAACAAUGUAGUGUCACCAUAAUUGCAAUCCACCCACUCCAAUUCAUUAGCUGCGGGGUGUGAAGAAAUUGACUGAAAUGCUGUCACAUCAGAACUAUAUCUUAUGAGCUAUUAACAGGGAAAUAUGUGGGUCUAAUGUAAGCAUGCAUCCUCUGUAGCUGCAGACCCUUAAUCUCCGCACACUCCAGCAAGGUCUCUGGAACAUUCCUGCACACUCACACAAACAAAUUAAAAGUCUCUCUUCAACCCCUUUCCCCUGCCCCACACCUGUGCAAUAAUCAGAUCUAAAAUAAGAACUUUUUUGGGGGGGGUGUCUUGACUUAAACCUAUUGACAAACCAUUUAUGGUGCAGAAUUCAGCGGCCAAGUUGCUCACCGGAGCAAGACGGUUUGAGCAUAUUACACCAAUCCUGGUACGACUGGACUGGCUACCAAUUAGUUUCCGGACCCAAUUCAAAGUGCUAGUUUUGACUAUAAAGCCUUAAAGGGCUCAGGACUGCAAUACCCCAAGGACCGUCUCUUUCCAUAUGAACUUACCCGGACCCUGAGAUCAUCUUCUGAGGCCCUCCUUUGUGUUCCCCCUCCUCGAGAGGUCCAGAGGGUGGUAACACGAGAAAGGGCCUUCUCUGCAGUGGCUCCCCGUCUGUAGAAUGCUCUCCGCAGGGACGUUCGCCUAGUGCCUUCAUCAUACACCUUUAGGCGCCAGGCAAAAACGUUCCUCUUUAACCAGGCCUUUAGUUGAUCUGAUUUGUAGCCUAUGUCCUUUUAAAAUUUAUUUGGGGGGGGCUAUUGGGUUGUUGUUUUUAUCUUUAUUAGGUAUUUUGUGGUUUUAUAUCUUGAUUUUAUUCUGUGAAUCAGCCUGAGACCCCCGGGUAUAGGGCGGUAUAUUAAUCCAAUAGUAAUAAUUUCUAGAACCCCCAAAAGUUUGAGCUAAAGAAUUCAUCUCCCAGGUUCAGGUUUGUCUGCCCAAAGUUCUGGACAUCUCUUCUGUGAUUAACUUCCCCAUGUCCUGUUACACAGAAUUCCUAUCCGGUUUUCAUUUGGCCCAGUAUUCAUGAAUCAAGCCCUCUUAGAGCUUUGCUAUGUUCUGACCUUGCUGCAAGCCUGCUUUAUUUCUCAGCAAAACUCUCUUCAAUUACUAAGUCAGACCUAAAAACGAUCUGUUUGCUACAGCCAUUCCUGGAGCUUCUGAAAUCUUUUCAACAAGUCAUUGGGCCCAGUAAUGGAAUACUUUUCAUGUUAACAGAGGGUGCUCCUUAUUUGUACGGCAUUUGAGACCCAUCAAAUGGAAUGCUUCUAAAUGGUAUCCAUUCGCUGCUGCAAUCCAGCAACCAGAUGAGCUCUUGUGUGUACUAAAAAGUUUGUUUUUUUUAUCGCAGGUGCAGUUUUUCAGCUUUAAAAUGGGAAAUGGGAGUCUAAAAUUCCAGACUGAGUGAUAAUAUUCUUUAUGCCAUUAUUCAUAAAAGAUUCCCCCUCUUACAUAAAAUUUCAGUGGCAUUUAAUUUGGCCAUGCAUUUCAAAUAGCAUAUAAACUAAUAGUGUAGAACAAAAAGAAUGUAAUGAGCUGGUGUUCAUUGAUGGGAUGCAUUUACGAUUGUAUGGAACUUACAAUUGCCACUAUCUUUUUUUUAUUUUUAAAGAAAAAGAUAAAAGAUAAAGAUUUAUUUAUUUGAAAGGAUUUUUGACAUCCCGCCCCCCUUAAAAUAUAGUGCAAUCCUGGACAUUUGUUUUGUCGUUUAGUCGUGUCUGACUCUUCCUGACCCCAUGGACCAGAGCACGCCAGGCACUCCUGUCUUCCACUGCCUCCUGCAGCUUGGUCAAACUCAUGUUGGUAGCUUCAAGAACACUGUCCAACCAUCUCGUCCUCUGUCAUCCCCUUCUCCUUGUGCCCUCAAUCUUUCCCAACAUCAGGGUCUUUUCCAGGGAGUCUUCUCUUCUUAUGAGGUGGCCAAAGUAUUGGAGCCUCAGCUUCAGGAUCUCUCCUUCCAGUGAGCACUCAGGGCUGAUUUCAGUCCUUCCAGGACUGAUCUCUCCUUCCAGUGAGCACUCAGGGCUGAUCCUGGACAUUAAGCCAGCUGAAUUCAAUCUGAAUUCCAGAUAAGGCAGUACCAUAUAUGGCAAUGGUUUUCAACCAGUGUGCUGUGGCAAUUCUUGCCAAUAUAUUAUGGGUGGAGAGAAGGGUUUAAUCCCUAUCCAUUUUCCUAAAUCCAGAGUGCCUUGAAUGGUAGCCAGGUGCCACAGGCAACACUGGCCUCUGUCCCUCUUUCCUUCCUUCCCUCCUCUGAUGCCCUCUCUCAUCUCUGCCUCCCAGUGGCUUGCACAGCUGUUUGUUUCAGCAGUCCUGGCUACAAGCUCUGCAGGCAAAUGGUGCCUCUGGGGAUGGUCACAGGGUACUGGUUGCCAGGAGCUGAGGAGGCCUCAAAGUAAGCAAGCAAGCGAGUGGGGGAGCCCAACCAGCCAGUUCGCCAGCUCUUGCUGUUGGGAAUGGAUGGACAAGUUCCAGGCCCCUGUGGGGCAGUGUGAAGAGGCACCUCUCUUUGUGGCAGAGGGGCAGCUCAGAAACCAGGGGUGACAGCAGCAGCUGGCCGAGAGGAUGCCCAAGAAGAAGGGAGAGGAGAGGAGGCUGAGGGAACGCUUCACAAGGGAGGGUGUUUGAAAAGGGAUGAGAGGUUCCCAGCUCUGCAAGCAAGGGGUGACAUAACUGGGCUUAUGAACUCUACAGGGGUUCCCCAAAAAGAAUGUAGUUGGUCAAGGGAGCUACGGACCCCACAAAAGGUUGAAAACCUCUGGGACAUGGAAUGCCUCUGCAUGAGAGCUGUGUUUGCUUCUCUUCCACAAGAUUCAUGACUGAGGGCUUAUACACACACCUGCCAAUUGCUUGGUUCUUUCCAGACACAAGUCCAUGCUUUAAAGCGGGAAUUGAACUCGUUCAUCCCACUGGCUGCACUGUUUCCUUUCAGAGUGUGACAUCACACUUAAGACUUAAUGACUACGUUCUUCAAAAUAAGCUUUAAAAAGGUAAAGGACCCCUAGGCGGUUAAAUCCAGUCAAAGGAGACUAUGGGGUGCAGCACUCAUCUCGCUUCAGGCCAAGGGAGCUGGUGUUUGUCCACAGACAGCUUUCCGGGUCAUGUGGCCAGCAUGACUAAAUUGCUUCUGGUGCAUGGAAGACUGUGAAAAGUGCCAGAGCACAUGGAAAUGACAUUUACCUUCCCGCCACAGUGGUACCUAUUUAUCUACUUGCACUGGAGUGCUUUCGAACUGCUAGGUUGGCAGGAGCUGGGACAGAGCAACGGGAGCUCACCCCAUCACAGGGAUUCAAACUGCCAACCUUCUGAUCGACAAGCCCAAGAGGCCCAGUGGUUUAGAUCACAGUGCCACCCGCUCCCUAAAAAAAAAAAAGCAAAAAAAAAAAAGAGCUAACAUUUAUUUAGCUCAUAUUAAUCUGUUUAAUCUAAAUUAAAUGCAUUGUUAAGUGUGUUUGGGACACGUCAUUUAGAGUGUUAACCUUUGAACAAAAGAGCUAACUAGUUUCACAUGGAAUGCAAAUGCCUACAGCUAAUUAUCAAGUGUAAUUGCAUAUGCUGGCGAAGCUGUGCUGAUCUUUUCCCUGAGAUAUCAUUUCCAGCAAACACACAGAUAGACAUCUAUUUGCUGGUAAUGAAUUUCUGGAUGUCGCACUUCCGUGGCUAAUGAACCAAGAUAAAGAUAAAAGGAGAAAAUGAGGACAGGAGGGCAGAAACCUUGCAGAGCAGGCUUGAUCCACAACUGAAAACAACCACUUUUUUGGGGGGGUGUGUGAUUUUUUUAAUUAUUAUUUUUUGCAAAUGUUAAUGUUGAGCACCUAAAUAAGAUGGUCUUUUGGCCAGACUAUGCCAAGCACACAAAUUACACGUGGGUGUGUUUUUUUGAGGGGGGGUUGUUAUUGGGUUGUUGUUUUUAUUUUGAUUAGGUAUUUUGUGCUUUUAUAUUUUGAUUUUAUUCUGUGAACCUCCCAGAGACCUGCAGGUAUAGGGCAGUAUAUGAAUUCAAUAAAUGAAUAAAUAAAGGUUUUAAAUACCACUGCUUUCUGUAGUGUGUGCAUUUGUGUGUUUAGUGUUUUAAAAGAAAAACCACAAGAACUGGAGGUUUAAUUUCUACAAACCAAGGAAAUUGGAAAGUCAGGUUGAUAGGGUUCCCAUAUUUCAAAAAGUCCGGACACAGAAGUUGUUGAACUUUUUUUUCCCUUUUGCAUAGUUAUUGAGCUUCUUCUGCAAAUUCUCAAAAAAAUUAAUAAUGAAAUUUUGGACCUAUUUUUAAUGGAAUUCACCAAAAUCUACACUUCCGACAUGGUUGUCGUACAUCCAGAUUUCCCCAUACAUUUCAGCAAGUUCCACCCAGAGUCUAUUUCCGAUGGCCAACUCCUGGCUAUGUCUGGGAAAUUCCAGAUGUAUAGCAACCCUAAAGGCUGAUGUCUUAGCGGACAUGCCCAACAAUUAGCAGGGAUGUUGUGCAGUGUCACAAAAUGUGCUUGCUUGCCACUUGCCCUUCAUGCACCCACAUUUUUCCUUGGUCUUUCAGGCUCAAAUCCAGAUGGAGAGGAGGGAGUGCCAAGAAUGCCUCAGAUUGUUAAAUAGAGGAUACUUCAACUGUCUGGUGCUUGCUCCUGGAGGAGAAAUCCCAUUUGGCAUAAACUAAAGGUAAAGGUAAAGGGACCCCUGACCAUUAGGUCCAGUCGUGACUGACUCUGGGGUUGUGGUGCUCAUCUCGCUUUAUUGGCUGAGGGAGCUGGCGUACAGCUUCCAGGUCAUGUGGCCAGCAUGACUAAGCCGCUUCUGGUGAACCAGAGCAGCACACAGAAAGCUGUUUACCUUCCCGCCAGAGUGGUACCUAUUUAUCUACUUGCACUUUGAUGUGCUUUUGAACUGCUAGGUUGGCAGGAGCAGGGACCAAGCAACGGGAGCUCACCCCGUCAUGAGGAUUCAAACCACCAACCUUCUGAUUGGCAAGUCCUAGGCUCUGUGGUUUAAUCCACAGCGCCACCCGCAUCCCUAUAAACUGCAGAGACAUGUUCAAAUGAAGCAGAGGUUAAUCACAUACCCUGCAAGUGUCUCUAUUUUCCAGGCACAACCCUGGAAUUAUGAAAGCUAUCCCAACUUCUGAUUUAAUCCCAGGAAAUCCCUAUUUCCUCUGCCGGUGUCACUGCUGCUGAGCUCAGGGAGGAGGAUGAACUGUUGGUGGUGCCAGCAGUGAUCAUUGACACAAUAGCUCCUGAACAUCUUCAGAUGCAGAAGUGAGUAAAAGUGCUCAGUAUUAGUUCUUAGUUAAAAAGGUAAAGGACUCCUGGACGGUUAAGUCCAGUCAAAGGUGACUAUGGGGUUGUUGCGCUCAUCUCACUUUCAGGCUGAGGGAGCCGGUGUUUGUCCACAGACAGCUUUCCGGGUCAUGUGGCCAGCAUGACUAAGCCACCUCUGGCUCAAUGGAACACCAUGACGGAAAACAGAGUGCACAGAAACACCAUUUACCUUCCCGCUGCAGUGGUACCUAUUUAUCUACUUGCACUGGCAUGCUUUUGAACUGCUAGUUUGCCAGAAUCUGGGACAGAGCAAUGGGAGCUCACUCCAUCACAGGGAUUCAAACUGCCUUCCGGUCAACAAGCCCAAGAGGCUCAGUCGUUUAGACCACAGCGUGACCCGUGUCCCAUUAUGUUCUAUGGGUAGCAGUAAGUAUAAUGCUUCUAGAUUGGCUAGACCUAGUAUAUAAAAAAAACAAAAAACAGGAUCCUGACCUUCUGCCCUUGACUGGGAUCUCAGUUGUGGCUAUUCCAUAUCCCUUUGCAAAACUAAAGCAACCCUUCCCACAGAGAGUUAAACAGCACUUUUAUUCAAGUAUUCUGCAACAAUAUAUUGUGAAAUAUUGCUACCGAUACAGCUGCCUGUGAUAAUUUCUUCUUUGUAGACAGAGGAAGCAAUCCUGCUUUCCUGUAAAACUGCCAAGGAGGGAGAUCUAUUUGAUACAGGGAAAAGCGUUAAAAGCAGAUUCUCUAAAUUAAAGAAAUGGCAUAUCUGAAGCGGAAAGUGUGAGAUGUGGAGAAAUGUGGGCAAUCUUUUAUAAUGGCAUCCAUAGUCCUGGCAUUCUCUAAGUUCAGCUCUUACAUUCAUUGUUCUAAGGUCAGUUUUAUUGCUGUUGCUAAAAGGUAGGAAACACCUCUGGAGCAGCAAUUGUUAAUGGUCAGUGACUCUUGCUUUUCUUGAUCAUACGUCAAGGUCUUUUUGUUCCGGUCCAAUACAUUUUCCAGCCAAGUGAGGAAGAAAUAUAAUGGCAUAGUCCUCUGCCAGAGCAUGUCUUCCACACUUUACUUCAAUAUGUGCUCCUUCAAUAAUCCUUGGGAAGAUCGCAAGCGCUGCGGAGCCCACCACUUAAUGUCCAUGAUUCAGGGCAAUUGCUCAAGCUUUUAACCAUAUGCUGUCUCUCUGUCUCAAAAUUGAUAAGCAUGGCAUGGGGAGCAGUAGUGAGCUUUAACCCUUCUUUCCCAGAAACAUGAACACUACUUGCUCCAUUAUCAGCCUUGUAGAGCUAAGGAGAUCUCAGUUGUCAAGAGAUUUCAAAUGCUGCAUUUGCUUAGAACUGUGGUGUGACUUCUUGUUAUCUUCCAAGUGUGUGUAUAACAUUAUUUUGCUGACUGAUAUAGCAGACAUUCUGACUGCAAUUCCCCUAUCCGUCCAAGCUGUCACAAGGAGGAGAAAUAAAGACUCACUUCCACAUAUAUUUCCUUUGAAAGAUAACAUGAAGAGUAGAAGUGUCCCCUGUGAAUUGCAUUACUCUCGCCACAACCCCCACCCCCGGCUAUUCUACUUGUUGCCAGUCACACACAACUGUGUUUUGUGUGAUACAGGGAACCAUCAGUGGUGCUAUUUCUGUCAACCUGUUGAUGAUAUUGUGAGUGCAGCAUUGCCUAGAAGGCUCACUGGUUUGUAAUUGAGCCAUUGAAAACCAACAAAGAAACUUCAGACAUUGAUUAACUUAAUUAAUCAAUUUGACAAUAUUGAUUAGAAAUUGCUGCUCAAACUUUUCAGGAACCAUAUGCUGUUCUUAUUUUGAUGCCAUUUCAAUUGUUCUGAUUUUGUGUUUGUGUUCAUACUUUAUGAUUGGAAUAUUUCUUCUUCCGCAUACUGCGUAGGGAACUUAAUCUUUGUUAUUGCUGUUAAUAAGUAAAUAAAUUCACAACUGUAUGAGAUUUGUACUUGAGAGACAGCAUACAAGACUCAGGAAGAAAUGAGCAAACUUUGUGAAGAAGAAGAAGAAGAAGAAGAAGAAGAAGAAGAAGAAGAAGAAGAAGCUGCUGCUGCUAAUAAACUUUAAUCUAAUAAUCUAACAAACUUUUCUAUGUCUUUGUAGAUUUGAGACAAACACUUUGACUCAUGAUAGAAGAAUUUAUAUUUGGCCAUACAAAUGAAAUGUUCAGUUUCACAACAGGGGAAAGAAAGGAACCAGUAGAUUUGUGCCAUCAUACCCACAUAGAAUAGGACACUUAACUGGAAAGCUUCAUAUUAUGAUUGUUCAUUCACUAGGUAAUGUAAUUGAAUUGACUGCCUGUUGUGCUUCAUAAAUAUACUGUAACUCAGCUUUAAGCCAAAGUAGCCCAUCUCCUCUCUCUACAAAAGCUGGUGUGUCAGCCUUAAGGAUCAGAUAGGAUUAAGGCUAAGGACAAAAUAGAGCAUAUUGCAUUUAUUUAAUUGGACACCUUCCAAAUUUAUCGUGUGAAAUCUUGUUUGACCUCCCCACCUCUGGUCAAGAAGGACACUUGCAUCGGUCUUUUGUGUAUGCAGAUCUACACAGGCCCAAUUCACCAGUAUGUGCAUAUCUUUCAAUGACCUGUGUAAACUUGGCUCCAUUGAAAGAAAGGGAAAAAACCCAUCAGAAUGUAAGAAAGCUCAGCACCUAAUAUCUGAAAUUUCCCAGGUGACAUUUUUCUGAGACAAUGUCAGAAAUUAUUCUUUUUUUUUCAUGCACCGUUAAAAAAUAAGGCCACAUUGCAUAAUUUGCUCCAAAUAUGGUUUUUUUGUUUGUUUUGUUUUUAUGUAGCAGCUGCCAUUCUGAACAUGUUACCCCCCCCCCAUUCCUCAGAAUGAAGCUAGGUUUAGGUAAAAGGUAAAGUUAAAAGACCCCUGGAUGGUUAAGUACAGCUGAAUUCGACCAUGGGGUACGGUGCUCAUCUCACUUCAGGCCAAGAGAGCCGGCGUUUGUCUGCAGACAGCUUUCUGGGUCAUGUGGCCAGCAUGGCUAAACCACUUCAUGGAAGCCAGAGCACAAGGAAACACCAUUUACCUUCCUGCCACAGUGCUACCUAUUUAUCUAUUUGUGCUGGUGUGCUUUCCAACUGCUAGGUUGGCAAGAGCUGGAACAGAGCAACCGGGAGCUCACUCCGUCACGGGGAUUCUAACCGCCGACCUUCUGAUCAGCAAGCCCAAGAGGCUCAGUGGUUUAGACCACAGCGCCACCCCUUUCUGUUCUGUUUUGUUCUGAUGUGUUUUGUGGCAGACCUUUCCUAGAUCUAGGACAAUGCAAAAUGGUGGUGAGGCAGGGAAACACAGUUGUUGCAGUUAUCACUUGCAUGGCAGGAACAUAAAACAGAAGACCUUGCAGUGGGGAGAGAAUCUAUUGUACCGCCUCUGCUAACUGUGAAUCCCAGCUAACUGUGAACUGUCAGGAAAUUUCUCUUCCUCCUGGAGAAUUCUAGCUGCCCUCACACCAAUGCCUUGAACUACAAAUAGGAUGGAUAUGUUUAAAAGGUCAUGUGUAUGUAGCUCUAAAAUACAACUCUCAUACUUGCACAUCACUUAGAUGCAUGCAUAAACUCACCCUUACACUAGAAAGAAAACAUGUGCAGCUAUGGGGGGGGGGGAAUUAUAAAAGGGACACAGGUGUCGCUGUGGGUUAAACCACAGAGCCUGGGGCUUGCCGAUCAGAAGGUCGGCGGUUUGAAUCCCUGUGACGGGGUGAGCUCCCAUUGUUCAGUCCUUGCUCCUGCCAACCUAGCAGUUCGAAAGCACGUCAAAGUGGAAGUAGAUAAAUAGGUACCGCUCCGGCGGGAAGGUAAACGGCGUUUCCAUGUGCUGCUCUGGUUUGCCAGAAGAAGCUUAGUCAUGCUGGCCACAUGACCUGUACGCCGGCUCCCUCGGCCAGUAAAGCGAGAUGAGCACUGCAACCACAGAGUCGUCCGUGACUGGACCUAAUGGUCAAGGGUCCCUUUACCUUUACCUUUAUGGAAAAAAUAGAGGCAUUCACCUAUUCAAGUUUGAUACUUAAAAUAUGCUAAAUUUAGGUCCAUGGUUCUGAACCCCCCCCCCCAAAAAAUGGUUGAGGACCUUAGCAGACCACUUAAAUUAUUUUUCUGCCUGCUGUAAUAAUUGUACUGUGCUGUGCUAGAUACUGUAAUAUUGGCAUUUGAAAUUUUUAUAUCUUCUUUUAUUUUGCAUAUAUUGCAUUUUAUUUUAUUGUAAUACAGUAAAAUACAAUAUAAAAAAGAAACAAUAAGAAUGCAAUUAAAAAUCGAUAUAACUAUUUAAUGCCUCUCCUGUCUUCAACCCCAAACACAUAGACGUACCAGCGGACCACCUGAAUGAAACUGAUGGAUGGCUUGUGGUCCAUGAACCACAGUUGUAUAGUUUUAACAGAUUUUUACUUUUUAUAUUGUAUCCAUAGCUGUCAACCUUCCCUUUUUUUUGUGGGAAAUUCCCUUAUUCCAGCGCCAUUUCCCGCUGCUUCCCGCUGCUAUCCCGGAUUGUUGGAUAUACCGUAGACUGACCCCAGGAUAGGUGAGGCUGCUGAUCCCUUAUUUUCAAAUCUGAAAGUUGACAGCUAUGGUUGUAUGCUUGUGAACCGUUUGUAGAUUAUUGCAUUUAAGAGAUAAAUGAAUUGG
This 20922-nucleotide long non-coding RNA is filed under the name Podarcis lilfordi (Lilford's wall lizard). The record is from RNAcentral. Lineage: Eukaryota; Metazoa; Chordata; Lepidosauria; Squamata; Lacertidae.